Molecule: transfer RNA, 59 nt
Filed under: Actinomycetes bacterium
Lineage: Bacteria; Bacillati; Actinomycetota; Actinomycetes
Description: tRNA-Ser
Rfam family: tRNA
About the family: Transfer RNA (tRNA) molecules are approximately 80 nucleotides in length. Their secondary structure includes four short double-helical elements and three loops (D, anti-codon, and T loops).
Source: RNAcentral
GGGUGGGAUCAGACCGACUGAAAAUCGGAAGGUCGACGGUUCGAUCCCGUCCCUGGCCA